ACUUGCGAGACAAGACCAGCUAUGCUCGCUGGUGGGCGGUAUAAACUUCACCCGGCUAUAUGUGGAGUUUAGCGGCAGCAAAGCUACUAUCCAAUAGAGACACGCUACAACAUCCGUCUACUCGGAGAAGAUAAGAGAGCGCACAAGGUAACAGUUCUAUACUCUGCAAACAUAACACAGCCGAUGCGAUCCCCCUUCGCAAAGAGGUACUGGCAAAGG
Molecule: non-coding RNA, 219 nt
Organism: Lolium perenne
Lineage: Eukaryota; Viridiplantae; Streptophyta; Magnoliopsida; Poales; Poaceae
Source: RefSeq, a predicted model, not a curated record